This 69-nucleotide transfer RNA is filed under the name Sundasciurus brookei (Brooke's squirrel). RNAcentral describes it as "tRNA-Asp". It matches the Rfam family "tRNA". Rfam says of the family: Transfer RNA (tRNA) molecules are approximately 80 nucleotides in length. Their secondary structure includes four short double-helical elements and three loops (D, anti-codon, and T loops). Further hydrogen bonds mediate the characteristic L-shaped molecular structure. tRNAs have two regions of fundamental functional importance: the anti-codon, which is responsible for specific mRNA codon recognition, and the 3' end, to which the tRNAs corresponding amino acid is attached (by aminoacyl-tRNA synthetases). tRNAs cope with the degeneracy of the genetic code in two manners: having more than one tRNA (with a specific anti-codon) for a particular amino acid; and 'wobble' base-pairing, i.e. permitting non-standard base-pairing at the 3rd anti-codon position. The record is from RNAcentral. Lineage: Eukaryota; Metazoa; Chordata; Mammalia; Rodentia; Sciuridae.
AAGAUAUUAGUAAAAUAAUUACAUAACUUUGUCAGGGUUAAUUUAUAGGUUAAAAUCCUUUAUAUCUUA